Molecule: long non-coding RNA, 1383 nt
Filed under: Chrysemys picta bellii (western painted turtle)
Lineage: Eukaryota; Metazoa; Chordata; Testudines; Emydidae
Description: lncRNA (ENSCPBG00000028094.1)
Source: RNAcentral
AUUCAGUGUUGCAUAAAGCUGGUCCUCCCUGCCUAAGCUUAACUAGUAGAGAAACCUCUAGGUUUGGAUGGAAGUGACAUGCUCUCCAGCCUCGGUAGAAGUCUCAUACAUAGAAACAUGCUCUGCCUCCAGGUUCCCAAUCUGACCCACAGUUCCAGAUUUGCCAAGUCUCACUCAUUUGGGUAGCAGACUCUCUCUUAAGUUAAGGCCAUUUAAAAAGUCUCUUCCUCUGGCAAUGAAGGAUUUUUCUGUUUUUUUUUUCCAAUGAGACAUUGAAUAUUUCAUGCCUAAACUUUAGGAAAUAUCCCUUGUUAAGUUGUCACUGCUUGACUGUUGUUUUUUUUUGCAAAAGAUGAAGUAGGUCCCUGUGUCUUCCACCAAAAUAAACAUUGACCACAGAGUUCAGAUUGGAGUUCAGAAAAGUGGAGUGCCUAAUGACCCUGAUUGGAAUUAGGACUCAUUUAACAGAUGGAGAAGCUGAGGUGUGGAGAGAAAAAGCAAUUUACCAGAUGUCAGAGUAACUCAAGGGCAGAGGGCUGAAUUUUCCAAGAAGCAGUUACCGCCAUCCAGUGCACCUUCAGGCAAACACUACAAGGUGGGAUUUACCAAAGGCUUAUGAAUGGUGAAGGCAGACUGAACAUCAAGCCCAUUGAGGAAGAGUGCAAGGUCUGCGCAGAACUUUCUACUGCAAAUGCAAAGCUUGUCUGUGCAGAAGACAGUUUGGGGGAACUAAUUCCCACAGGAGCUAAGAAGUCUCCAAGUCUAAGGUUACAUCCAGACUACCCGCCGAAUUGGCUAAACGCGAUAUAUCGAUCCCCGAACACGCUCCCGUUGACUCUGGAACUCCACCAGGGCGAGCGGUGGUAGCGGAGUCGACGGGGGAGCCGCGGCUGUCGAUCCCAUGCCGUGAGGACCCAAGGUAAGUCGAAAUAAGAUACGUUGACUUCAGCUACGCUAUUCCCGUAGCUGAAGUUGUGUAUCUUACAUCGACCCUCCCCCACCCCCCACAGGGUAGACCAGCCCUUUGGUGCACUCUUCCAACUUGCUUUCUCUAAUAGAAACAUAAAGCAGCAUGGGCCCUUUUAUAACAAACAAAAUAACUUUCAAAAUAUUCUACUGCACAUACACAUCCUGGGGAGAGGCUGAAAGAAAAGACAGGUGUUUAUCAACUCACUUAAUUCACUCCUUGAAGAUGCUCAGAUACUAUGGUGGUGAGAGUGGUACAAGAACCUGAAUAGACUAACCCAGAAUAUCUUGCAGCUGAUAAUUCUCCAAACAUAUAAAGUUUGUAUGGCUUAUAGUACUGCAUCAUAAAGCAAAGAUGAUAUAACAUGUAAUCUCAAAAGCACAUGGUGCAAAUGUGUUCCAUGACUCUACAGAAAU